GGGAAACCCAUUAUUGUCAGGCAGGUUUUUGAUAGUUCGUCCAUUGCGAGCUGGGAUCCGGAGGUUAUCUGGAGAGGAAUUCAGGGUAAGACUGAUGAGAGAGUGAAUUAUGAGACUCAAUUAGUGAAGGCCAUCAAUUGCUCAGACCAGUCUGAGGUCAAUAUUGAGCUUCUUCAGUUCAUCGAAGGAUACUUUAAUGGUCGUAUCUCG
RNAcentral lists this unclassified non-coding RNA (210 nucleotides) under Hevea brasiliensis (rubber tree). Lineage: Eukaryota; Viridiplantae; Streptophyta; Magnoliopsida; Malpighiales; Euphorbiaceae. The record is from RNAcentral.